GCGGGAUAUGUUGUGAAAGACCUUCCCACCACCACACAUGCUAUAUUUUAUCUUUCAUCAAGAUUUGCUGUAGCUAGCUGAUACAGAAAUGGUUUGAUGGGUGAUGAAACAGACCUACAUCUGUGCUUGGUAACUGGGGAAAUCCAUUACAAUGUCUCCACGUGACUGGACCUGAUCUUGACGGGGGAAUACCUGUACUGCAUAGUAGAAGGGAUGAUAGAUGGAAUAGGACCUCAAAAUAAAACACACGCAUACACAGGUAUCGCUCGGAUUAAUAUCUGGCCACCAUUUUUUUGAUAAUGUACAUGCAGGCUUUAUUGGCCAAUAGUCUGGUCUUCAGCUCUGGAGCAGUUUUGCUGUAUUUUGCUGUUCUUUCUACCGCUGUCGCUGGCGUGCAAGUCCUGAGAGCAAUGUACUUUGGAGUCAGUACGAGAAAUGUUGAGAAUAUUCACAGACAAAACAUUCUAGGCAGCACAAGUUUUUUUUUUUAUACAUCUCCUUCUGUAACAACCUUAAAAAGUCAAUUUUCCAUCCUGAACAGAGUGUUAUUUUUCUGAGCUUGCUUUCAGUUGAAAGGGACAUUCUGUAGGAGUUCCACUUCCAUUUGUGUGUUUGUUCUCUGCAGUGACUUUAUUGACCACAUGAAGAAUGAUGAUUUUUUUUCAAUAGUUUUUCAAGAGAAUCUUCUGAAGCUUGGGUUGAUUUGGAGAGGGAAGAGAGGUCAAGAUAACAACAAAAACCUCUUCAAGGGCAAAGCAAAAGCAGGCAAAAUGCUCCAAGAGUGCAGAAGAGUAGACUUCUGACAAAAAGAAGAAUGGCACAGAAGGACUAUAACUGACAUCAGGAGCCCCGCUAACUAUUUAGUCGGAAGCCAGAUGGUUGAUAAGGAAAAUGCAAGUAGCAGAUGACAAUCAGCGCACGCACUCCCUUAGUCUGCCUGCAUAUACCCCAGGACUGAAAGAUUCACCAA
Molecule: long non-coding RNA, 970 nt
Organism: Aptenodytes forsteri (emperor penguin)
Lineage: Eukaryota; Metazoa; Chordata; Aves; Sphenisciformes; Spheniscidae
Exons: 3
Source: RefSeq, a predicted model, not a curated record